CAUUAAGAUGGACCUCACAGUGGCCCUUGCACCAGCCCUGAGGAUUCCAGGGUCGUCUGGAGAUGGCUAUGGCACAUCCCAAGUGGACACUGCAUAG
Molecule: long non-coding RNA, 97 nt
Filed under: Ictidomys tridecemlineatus (thirteen-lined ground squirrel)
Lineage: Eukaryota; Metazoa; Chordata; Mammalia; Rodentia; Sciuridae
Description: lncRNA (ENSSTOG00000029698.1)
Source: RNAcentral